This 500-nucleotide ribosomal RNA is filed under the name uncultured bacterium. RNAcentral describes it as "partial 16S ribosomal RNA". It matches the Rfam family "Bacterial small subunit ribosomal RNA", at positions 30 to 523 of the family's 1533-position model. The record is from RNAcentral.
AUUGAACGCUGGCGGCAGGCCUAACACAUGCAAGUCGAGCGGAUGACGGGAGCUUGCUCCUUGAUUCAGCGGCGGACGGGUGAGUAAUGCCUAGGAAUCUGCCUGGUAGUGGGGGACAACGUUUCGAAAGGAACGCUAAUACCGCAUACGUCCUACGGGAGAAAGCAGGGGACCUUCGGGCCUUGCGCUAUCACAUGCGCCUAGGUCGGAUUAGCUAGUUGGUGGGGUAAUGGCUCACCAAGGCGACGAUCCGUAACUGGUCUGAGAGGAUGAUCAGUCACACUGGAACUGAGACACGGUCCAGACUCCUACGGGAGGCAGCAGUGGGGAAUAUUGGACAAUGGGCGAAAGCCUGAUCCAGCCAUUCCGCGUGUGUGAAGAAGGUCUUCGGAUUGUAAAGCACUUUAAGUUGGGAGGAAGGGCAGUAAGUUAAUACCUUGCUGUUUUGACGUUACCGACAGAAUAAGCACCGGCUAACUCUGUGCCAGCCGCCGCCGUAA